UACGAAGGGUGCUAGCGUUGUUCGGAAUCACUGGGCGUAAAGCGUGCGUAGGCUGUCUGCCAAGUCAGGGGUGAAAUCCUUGGGCUCAACCCAAGAACUGCCUUUGAAACUAGCAGACUGGAGUGUCGGAGGGGAUAGCGGAAUUCCUAAUGUAGUGGUGAAAUACGUAGAUAUUAGGAGGAACACCGGUGGCGAAGGCGGCUAUCUGGACGACAACUGACGCUGAGGCACGAAAGCGUGGGGAUCAAACAGG
RNAcentral lists this ribosomal RNA (253 nucleotides) under uncultured bacterium. RNAcentral's name for it is "partial 16S ribosomal RNA". It matches the Rfam family "Bacterial small subunit ribosomal RNA", at positions 524 to 776 of the family's 1533-position model. The record is from RNAcentral.